RNAcentral lists this ribosomal RNA (425 nucleotides) under uncultured bacterium. RNAcentral describes it as "partial 16S ribosomal RNA". It matches the Rfam family "Bacterial small subunit ribosomal RNA", at positions 354 to 796 of the family's 1533-position model. The record is from RNAcentral.
GUGGGGAAUCUUGCGCAAUGGGCGAAAGCCUGACGCAGCCAUGCCGCGUGAAUGAUGAAGGUCUUAGGAUUGUAAAAUUCUUUCACCGGGGACGAUAAUGACGGUACCCGGAGAAGAAGCCCCGGCUAACUUCGUGCCAGCAGCCGCGGUAAUACGAAGGGGGCUAGCGUUGCUCGGAAUUACUGGGCGUAAAGGGCGCGUAGGCGGACAGUUUAGUCAGAGGUGAAAGCCCAGGGCUCAACCUUGGAAUUGCCUUUGAUACUGGCUGUCUUGAGUACGGGAGAGGUGAGUGGAACUCCGAGUGUAGAGGUGAAAUUCGUAGAUAUUCGGAAGAACACCAGUGGCGAAGGCGACAUACUGGUCCAUUACUGACGCUGAGGCUCGAAAGCGUGGGGAGCAAACAGGAUUAGAAACCCCAGUAGUCC